RNAcentral lists this ribosomal RNA (451 nucleotides) under uncultured bacterium. RNAcentral's name for it is "partial 16S ribosomal RNA". It matches the Rfam family "Bacterial small subunit ribosomal RNA", at positions 354 to 796 of the family's 1533-position model. The record is from RNAcentral.
GUGGGGAAUAUUGGACAAUGGGGGGAACCCUGAUCCAGCCAUACCGCGUGUGUGAAGAAGGCCUUUUGGUUGUAAAGCACUUUAAGCGAGGAGGAGGCUACCGAGAUUAAUACUCUUGGAUAGUGGACGUUACUCGCAGAAUAAGCACCGGCUAACUCUGUGCCAGCAGCCGCGGUAAUACAGAGGGUGCAAGCGUUAAUCGGAUUUACUGGGCGUAAAGCGCGCGUAGGUGGCCAAUUAAGUCAAAUGUGAAAUCCCCGAGCUUAACUUGGGAAUUGCAUUCGAUACUGGUUGGCUAGAGUAUGGGAGAGGAUGGUAGAAUUCCAGGUGUAGCGGUGAAAUGCGUAGAGAUCUGGAGGAAUACCGAUGGCGAAGGCAGCCAUCUGGCCUAAUACUGACACUGAGGUGCGAAAGCAUGGGGAGCAAACAGGAUUAGAUACCCCGGUAGUCC